This is a non-coding RNA of Picea glauca (white spruce), 123 nucleotides long. The record is from Rfam. NCBI's taxonomy places the organism in Eukaryota, Viridiplantae, Streptophyta, Pinopsida, Pinales, Pinaceae.
AUGUACAUCCCUACAACAUAGCGUUAAUGCAUCAGAUCCCAUUAGAACUCUGCAGUUAAGUGCGCUCUAGCUAGAGUAGUACUGGGAUGCGUGACCACCAGGGAAGUACUAGCAUUUUACAUG